RNAcentral lists this ribosomal RNA (497 nucleotides) under uncultured bacterium. Its description in RNAcentral is "partial 16S ribosomal RNA". It matches the Rfam family "Bacterial small subunit ribosomal RNA", at positions 28 to 507 of the family's 1533-position model. The record is from RNAcentral.
GAUGAACGCUGGCGGCGUGCCUAAUACAUGCAAGUCGAGCGAACGGACGAUAAGCUUGCUUCCUUGAUGUUAGCGGCGGGCGGGUGAGUAACACGUGGAUAACCUACCUAUAAGACUGGGAUAACUUCGGGAAACCGGAGCUACUACCAGCUGAUAUUUUGAACGGCAUGGAUCAAAAGUGAAAGACGGUCUUGCUGUCACUUAUAGAUGGAUCCGCGCUGCAUUAGCUAGUUGGUAAGGUAACAGCUUACCAAGGCGACGAUGCAUAGCCGAUCUGAGAGGAUGAUCAGCCACACUGGAACUGAGACACGGUCCAGACUCCUACGGGAGGCAGCAGUAGGGAAUAUUGCGCAAUGGGCGAAAGCCUGACGGAGCCACGCCGCGUGAGUGAUGAAGGUCUUCGGAUUGUAAAACUCUUUUAUUAGGGAAGAAAAGAUGUGUAAGAAUAUGUGGCCAUCUUGACGGUACCCAAACAGAAAGCAACGGCUAACUACGUG